This is a long non-coding RNA of Electrophorus electricus (electric eel), 1108 nucleotides long. RefSeq lists it as uncharacterized. The record is from RefSeq and is a predicted model, not a curated record. Lineage: Eukaryota; Metazoa; Chordata; Actinopteri; Gymnotiformes; Gymnotidae.
GGGUGGCCCACGUUCACACUUGGGUCUAACGUGAUGGAGUGGGUGACUUCCAUUGGGCAUCAUCAAACACACCUGAACCAAGCCCUUAAGAACCUGGAAUACCUGGCAGAGGCAUGUUGGGAGCAGGGUUGGAACAAAUACGUGGACUGGCUGGAGGGUCCAGAGGAUCGGACCAGGAAACGCUGCCUUAUUGCUCAGGUUUCACAUGGAAGCAUGGGUUUGUUUACAUGACCACACACGAAGCAAAAAAGCCAGAGGUGUGACUGGUCCUGCUGCAUGUCCCCACUGUGGCCAGUCUUGUGCUACAGUGGGAGAGGAGCCAGAACUCUGCUGUGUCUGCUGUGUCUCAGGGCUCUUUAGUGAGGCCCUUAGUGAGCCACUCAGACAGACUGUGAGGACGCGUGGAGUGAUUACAAUCACUCUGAUGCAUGGAGGAAUUACGACCAUUCCGACGUGUGGAGGGAUUACGAUCAUUCCGACGCGGCCCUGAUGAUUAGACACAGGGGAAUUUCCCUGUUUCAGUUCUAUUGCUGUAACUGCUAGGAUUGAGCGAUUUUAGCAAUAUGAAUGACACAUAGUUGUCAUCUUGGUUCACGCCCACCAACACAAGUUGAAAUCUGACUGAACAUGCAAACCUUUGUCUUCACAAUGGAGGUCGUCAACUGCAUAACCCAAACAAAAUCCUGUGCCUGACCAGUGAAUGUAACCUAUUGGCCCUUUUGUUGUAACAUCUGACCCCCAUGUACAGGGAUGGUGGAGAAUUUGCAGAUCCUGGACUUUGAGGGCCAAGAUUUCAAUACCCCUGUCCUUUGACAAAUGAACCACUAGUGAUUACAAAAUCCAGGAUUGGAUUUUGGGUUCAAGGUCAAGAGUAAGGGUAGCAAAAUCCCAAACGGCCCAUAACAAAGCAUGUCAUGUCUCUCCACAGUUGAGCCAAACUCAGUGACCUCUGCUCACCAGUGCCUGCGUGUGUCUCACACAAAGCACACUUUUGCGUGGGCAGGAGUAACUGGUCUUCCCAUGAGCAGCAGAACUUGCGUGUCCGAAACCAAAGUACACCAUGUCAUAGUGGUGUGACGGGCUUGUGUCAUGCAUAACAGGAAGUGAC